Molecule: non-coding RNA, 224 nt
Organism: Cicer arietinum (chickpea)
Lineage: Eukaryota; Viridiplantae; Streptophyta; Magnoliopsida; Fabales; Fabaceae
Source: Rfam
ACGACCUUACUUGAACAGGAUCUGUUCUAUAGGAUCGUACUACUGUGUCCUUAUAUUCUAAGGAGACAGGAACCUAAAUCUGGUGGAUGAAUCAUGACCGUACGAUCAGACCGUGAUUAACGGUUCUGUGAUGGGAGCUUUGGCUGACCAUUGCAGUUGACUGUAGAGGAUCGUUCUCAGCUUCACUUGUGAUCUGGGAUGGUCGCACGGUUGUCUGACAGAUU